Molecule: long non-coding RNA, 565 nt
Filed under: Rattus norvegicus (Norway rat)
Lineage: Eukaryota; Metazoa; Chordata; Mammalia; Rodentia; Muridae
Description: long non-coding RNA NONRATT012094
Source: RNAcentral
AGGAAAUGUUUGUUCAAGGGGAAAAGACUUUCGAUUUUUGAUGUUAAGGCGUUUGACGACGAAGCACCUGAACCAGGUUUGUUAAGAAGAGAACAGCACUGCUCCGAGUGUGGGAGUUCUGUCUUUGAGAAACAGUCCUGGUGUCCUGGUGGUAUAACACUGGACAUCUGCGUUUUUAUCUUUCUUCCUGUCAUGGUUCUAGAUCUUGCUCAUGAAUAAAACUGCUGAUUUGGGUCCUGCUUCCCCCUGAAAAUGUCGCAUUCUGUGGGACCCUGAGGGAUCAAUGCUGUCAGAUAAACAAGCCAGAGCUGUGGGUUGACUGUGGCUCUUGGUUAGAAAGAAUUCUUCAGCCGCCGUUUGCAGUGUAGCCCACUGCUGUUGCAUGAAGGUCACUGACCUGUUUCUGCUUUUGAGCAGUGUGCUACCCAGAGCAGGAGAGACACCAUGAACUCAUGAAAGAGAAUGCUCUCUCCCUCCUGGUUCAUUGGCUGCUUGUCAGUCUUUUAAAGCUACCUUGGUUUCAUUGAUUCUUUAUAUUGUUUUUGUUCAUUUCUGAAAUGUGAAC